GACGAACGCUGGCGGCAUGCCUAAUACAUGCAAGUCGAGCGAACAGAUGAAGUGCUUGCACUUCUGACGUUAGCGGCGAACGGGUGAGUAACACGUAAGGAAUCUACCUAUAAGCGGGGGAUAACAUUCGGAAACGGGUGCUAAUACCGCAUAAUAUCUUCUUCCGCAUGGAAGAAGAUUGAAAGACGGCUCUGCUGUCACUUAUAGAUGACCUUGCGGUGCAUUAGUUAGUUGGUGGGGUAACGGCCUACCAAGGCGAUGAUGCAUAGCCGACCUGAGAGGGUGAUCGGCCACGGUGGGACUGAGACACGGCACAAACUCCUACGGGAGGCAGCAUUAGGGAAUCUUCCGCAAUGGGCGAAAGCCUGACGGAGCAAUGCCGAGUGAGUGAAGAAGGCCUUCGGGUCGUAAAACUCUGUUAUAAGAGAAGAACAAAUUGUAGAGUAACUGCUACAGUCUUGACGGUAUCUUAUCAGAAAGCCACGGCUAACUACGUGCCAGCAGCCGCGGUAA
This 513-nucleotide ribosomal RNA is filed under the name uncultured bacterium. Its description in RNAcentral is "partial 16S ribosomal RNA". It matches the Rfam family "Bacterial small subunit ribosomal RNA", at positions 28 to 523 of the family's 1533-position model. The record is from RNAcentral.